AAGGCUUUAGCUUAGUUAAAGUGUCUGCUUUGCACGCAGGAGAUGUGGGAUAAUACCCCGCAAGUCUUA
RNAcentral lists this transfer RNA (69 nucleotides) under Cottus hangiongensis. RNAcentral describes it as "tRNA-Ala". It matches the Rfam family "tRNA". From Rfam's summary of the family: Transfer RNA (tRNA) molecules are approximately 80 nucleotides in length. Their secondary structure includes four short double-helical elements and three loops (D, anti-codon, and T loops). Lineage: Eukaryota; Metazoa; Chordata; Actinopteri; Perciformes; Cottidae. The record is from RNAcentral.